Molecule: unclassified non-coding RNA, 621 nt
Filed under: Hevea brasiliensis (rubber tree)
Lineage: Eukaryota; Viridiplantae; Streptophyta; Magnoliopsida; Malpighiales; Euphorbiaceae
Source: RNAcentral
CUUCAGCUCUUCUCUCUCCCUCUUCAAUUUUAAAACCCGCUAGGAAAGCAGAAGCAGGGAGCAUAUAGAAAAAGCAGAACAGAUCCCUGAAUAACCACCAUUAGCGGUCAAUAGAACAGCACCGAAGCAGUCACCACCGCUACCUUGAGAGGAUGUUCAAAAUCUUCAACAGAGGAAAAGAAACUGCCAGCGAUUUCUCACCGCAAUCAUCGCCGUCUCCUUCCUCGUCGAUGUCGCCGUCUCAUGUGACUGGACCGCCGAGGCCUAUCAAUUUGGUGUACCGCGACAGGGAUGGGAAGUUCCGGAUGGAUCCGGAAGCAGUUGCCACGCUUCAGCUGGUUAAGGAACCAAUCGGUGUCGUUUCGGUUUGUGGUCGCUCUCGUCAGGGCAAAAGCUUCAUUUUGAAUCAGCUUCUUGGGAAGAGUAGCGGAUUUCAGGUAGCACCAACUCAUCGACCGUGUACAAAAGGACUUUGGUUGUGGAGUGCACCCAUAAAGAGAACAGCUCUUGAUGGAACUGAGUACAAUCUUUUACUAUUAGAUAGCGAAGGAAUAGAUGCUUAUGAUCAAACAGGGACUUACAGCACUCAAAUAUUCUCCUUAGCUGUUCUCUUAUCUAGCA